CAGUAGCCACGGGAAUACGGAGGGGGCUAGCGUUGUUCGGAAUUACUGGGCGUAAAGCGCACGUAGGCGGCUUUGUAAGUUAGAGGUGAAAGCCUGGAGCUCAACUCCAGAAUUGCCUUUAAGACUGCAUCGCUUGAAUCGCGGAGAGGUGAGUGGAAUUCCGAGUGUAGAGGUGAAAUUCGUAGAUAUUCGGAAGAACACCAGUGGCGAAGGCGGCUCACUGGACGCGUAUUGACGCUGAGGUGCGAAAGCGUGGGGAGCAAACAGGAUUAGAUACCCCAGUAGUCCCUGUCUCUUAUAC
RNAcentral lists this ribosomal RNA (301 nucleotides) under uncultured bacterium. RNAcentral's name for it is "partial 16S ribosomal RNA". It matches the Rfam family "Bacterial small subunit ribosomal RNA", at positions 509 to 807 of the family's 1533-position model. The record is from RNAcentral.